Carassius gibelio (silver crucian carp) is the source of this 248-nucleotide long non-coding RNA. RefSeq lists it as uncharacterized. The record is from RefSeq and is a predicted model, not a curated record. The transcript has 2 exons. Lineage: Eukaryota; Metazoa; Chordata; Actinopteri; Cypriniformes; Cyprinidae.
CAGUUUUACGAAGGCUUACCCCUAGCAGGGUAGGCUAGCUGCAAAAGUGGCUAUUCGUAAAGCACACACACACACACACACACACACAGUGAGGUGAGUGACUACAAACGACAAUCCACACUCCGUGCUCCAAACACCACCACCACCAGGAUACUAGGACAGCUAGCCACCCGACUCAGGGGCCUAAAACACAAAGAACACAAAUUACUCAAAUGUACAAAACGAAAUUAAUCUAAAGCCUGAUUGAC